ACGCAUGCGCUCCACCCCUCCCUCUGUCACGGUGCCACUGGCUUUCUGUCACGCUCCCCAUUUCUGUCCCAAGGGUUACAGGUAAACUGCCACCGAGGUUGCUAAAUUUGUUCACUCUUUUUUACAGUUUCCUCUACUGAGGUCACGUUGGCAGCUGUUUCCCUAUUUAGGAACUUAAAUGCAGUCCUCCGGUGGGUAUCCUGGGAAGCUAUUCUGUGCAGCACCACGCCGCCACCGGUGACUCCUCUUCCUCCCUCCACCUGCUCUGUGCUCUACAGACAACCGUUAGUCCCUGACUGCUUCCGGCCCCAGGUAGGCCUGCCUUUCAGUUCACCGGAGCUCUCCUGCCGGGAGUCACGGACAAACACCCUCUUCGCUGGGAACUGGAUGCAAAUAUGGGCAGGUGUGAACCCUAGAUGUGAAUUUGAGCCCGUUGGAAGGUACGUUUCUAAGGCGCAAGCCCAUUCUGAAGGAUCGCCCAGGACACGUCUUCCCUGGAGACCCCCACGGUAGCAGACGCUUGCCUCCUGAAGGGUUGAAGACAGGUAGGGAUUGUUCCGUUUGACCUCUGAGUUUGACUGGAGGCAAGUCCUUUAAACCUACACAGGCCACUCAAGCCCCCAUGGUCCCUCUCUGUGUCUCUGAGAGCCUAAAUGUCCCUCAGUGUUUUUUGAUAACGGCCUCUUCGUUUUCACACAGACUGACCUAUUAGUUCCAUUUGUUUAUUAGAAUCAAGGUAC
RNAcentral lists this long non-coding RNA (740 nucleotides) under Felis catus (domestic cat). Its description in RNAcentral is "lncRNA (ENSFCAG00000052896.1)". Lineage: Eukaryota; Metazoa; Chordata; Mammalia; Carnivora; Felidae. The record is from RNAcentral.